Molecule: unclassified non-coding RNA, 346 nt
Filed under: soil metagenome
Description: partial contains 5.8S ribosomal RNA, internal transcribed spacer 2, and large subunit ribosomal RNA
Rfam family: 5.8S ribosomal RNA (bases 1-119)
Source: RNAcentral
GAUGAAGAACGUAGCGAAAUGCGAUAGUAAUGUGAAUUGCAGAAUUCAGUGAAUCAUCGAAUCUUUGAACGCACAUUGCGCCCGCUAGUAUUCUGGCGGGCAUGCCUGUCCGAGCGUCAUUUCAACCCUCAAGCCCCUCCGGGGGCCUGGCGUUGGGGAUCGGCCCCGCUCCGGCGGCCGGCCCCGAAAUGUAGUGGCGGUCUCGCCGCUGCCUCCUCUGCGUAGUAGAAACACCUCGCAUUGGGACGCGGCGGGCCCACGCCGUUAACCAGAUGAAUUUUUUCAAGGUUGACCUCGGAUCAGGUAGGAAUACCCGCUGAACUUAAGCAUAUCAAUAAGCGGAGGA